RNAcentral lists this ribosomal RNA (494 nucleotides) under Pichia sp. UFMG-IO16.1. RNAcentral's name for it is "eukaryotic LSU rRNA". The stretch from base 105 to 257 matches the Rfam family "5.8S ribosomal RNA". The record is from RNAcentral. Lineage: Eukaryota; Fungi; Ascomycota; Pichiomycetes; Pichiales; Pichiaceae.
CGGAAGGAUCAUUACAGUGACAUAUAACACACACACAUUGCGUGAGCGCACAACACACAACGAAACAUGAAUAACAAACCAGUCUAGAAAAACGAAACAAAUAAAACUUUCAACAACGGAUCUCUUGGUUCUCGCAUCGAUGAAGAGCGCAGCGAAAUGCGAUACGUAGUGUGAAUUGCAGACAUCGUGAAUCAUCGAGUUCUUGAACGCACAUUGCGCCCCUUGGUAUUCCGGGGGGCAUGCCUGUCUGAGCGUCGUUUCCGUCUUGUGAAAACAGGAUUGGUGUUGCGAAGGUUAAAAACUUUGCAGUGCUGAAAGCGAUGGAAAAAUAAGCUAAGCAAGCGAGUGGACGAAAGCCCUACACGCGCUGGUUAUAAAACGAAGCUCGACCUCAGAUCAGGUAGGAGUACCCGCUGAACUUAAGCAUAUCAAAAGCCCGGAGGAAAAAUGUGGUCAUUCGCGACAUAUAACACACACACAUUGCGUGAGCGCAC